AGAAAACCAUCAAUUUUUCUAUUCAAAAGUUCUACCUGAUUAGAGAGCAUGGUGAUCGAAUUGACAUUAAAAACUCCGGCUGUUUUUGUUUGCUUUGUGCUCAUAACUUGCCAUUGAUAAUUAUUCAGUGACAUCUCUUCUAUAAAUUCAUAAGCAUCUUCAGGUGUCUUAUUAUUGAUGGUUCCACCAGCAGCUUCGCCAAUCAUCUGUCUAGUUGAAGGAUUUAGGCCAUUGUGAAAUGUUUGAACCUGUAGCCAGAGUGGUAACCCAUGGUAAGGGCAUCCUCGCAAAAGGUCCUUGUAUCUCUCCCAUG
This 313-nucleotide long non-coding RNA is filed under the name Gossypium barbadense (sea-island cotton). RNAcentral's name for it is "long non-coding RNA (GBAR_LNC001530)". Lineage: Eukaryota; Viridiplantae; Streptophyta; Magnoliopsida; Malvales; Malvaceae. The record is from RNAcentral.